UACAGAGGGUGCGAGCGUUAAUCGGAGUUACUGGGCGUAAAGGGCGCGUAGGCGGUUAAAUGAGUGUGAUGUGAAAGCCCUGGGCUUAACCUGGGAAGUGCAUCGCAAACUGUUUGACUGGAGUAUAUGAGAGGGUGUCGGAAUUUCCGGUGUAGCGGUGAAAUGCGUAGAGAUCGGAAGGAACGUCGAUGGCGAAGGCAGGCACCUGGCAUAAUACUGACGCUGAGGCGCGAAAGCGUGGGGAGCGAACAGG
RNAcentral lists this ribosomal RNA (253 nucleotides) under uncultured bacterium. Its description in RNAcentral is "partial 16S ribosomal RNA". It matches the Rfam family "Bacterial small subunit ribosomal RNA", at positions 524 to 776 of the family's 1533-position model. The record is from RNAcentral.